RNAcentral lists this ribosomal RNA (465 nucleotides) under Vreelandella stevensii. RNAcentral describes it as "partial 16S ribosomal RNA". It matches the Rfam family "Bacterial small subunit ribosomal RNA", at positions 338 to 795 of the family's 1533-position model. The record is from RNAcentral. Lineage: Bacteria; Pseudomonadati; Pseudomonadota; Gammaproteobacteria; Oceanospirillales; Halomonadaceae.
CCUACGGGAGGCAGCAGUGGGGAAUAUUGGACAAUGGGCGAAAGCCUGAUCCAGCCAUGCCGCGUGUGUGAAGAAGGCCUUCGGGUUGUAAAGCACUCUCAGUGGGGAAGAAAGCCUUGGGGCUAAUACCCUCGAGGAAGGACAUCACCCACAGAAGAAGCACCGGCUAACUCCGUGCCAGCAGCCGCGGUAAUACGGAGGGUGCGAGCGUUAAUCGGAAUUACUGGGCGUAAAGCGCGCGUAGGCGGUCUGAUAAGCCGGUUGUGAAAGCCCCGGGCUCAACCUGGGAACGGCAUCCGGAACUGUCAGGCUAGAGUGCAGGAGAGGAAGGUAGAAUUCCCGGUGUAGCGGUGAAAUGCGUAGAGAUCGGGAGGAAUACCAGUGGCGAAGGCGGCCUUCUGGACUGACACUGACGCUGAGGUGCGAAAGCGUGGGUAGCAAACAGGAUUAGAUACCCCAGUAGUC